GGUUCAACUGAUUUGAAGAGCUUGCUCAGAUAUGACGAUGGACAUUGCAAAGAGUGGCGAACGGGUGAGUAACACGUGGGAAACCUACCUCUUAGCAGGGGAUAACAUUUGGAAACAGAUGCUAAUACCGUAUAACAAUAGCAACCGCAUGGUUGCUACUUAAAAGAUGGUUCUGCUAUCACUAAGAGAUGGUCCCGCGGUGCAUUAGUUAGUUGGUGAGGUAAUGGCUCACCAAGACGAUGAUGCAUAGCCGAGUUGAGAGACUGAUCGGCCACAAUGGGACUGAGACACGGCCCAUACUCCUACGGGAGGCAGCAGUAGGGAAUCUUCCACAAUGGGCGAAAGCCUGAUGGAGCAACGCCGCGUGUGUGAUGAAGGGUUUCGGCUCGUAAAACACUGUUGUAAGAGAAGAAUGACAUUGAGAGUAACUGUUCAAUGUGUGACGGUAUCUUACCAGAAAGGAACGGCUAAAUACGUGCCAGCAGCCGCGGUAAUACGUAUGUUCCAAGCGUUAUCCGGAUUUAUUGGGCGUAAAGCGAGCGCAGACGGUUAUUUAAGUCUGAAGUGAAAGCCCUCAGCUCAACUGAGGAAUUGCUUUGGAAACUGGAUGACUUGAGUGCAGUAGAGGAAAGUGGAACU
This 639-nucleotide ribosomal RNA is filed under the name Weissella cibaria. RNAcentral describes it as "bacterial SSU rRNA". It matches the Rfam family "Bacterial small subunit ribosomal RNA", at positions 60 to 668 of the family's 1533-position model. Lineage: Bacteria; Bacillati; Bacillota; Bacilli; Lactobacillales; Lactobacillaceae. The record is from RNAcentral.